GAUACAGGAAGUAGUAGGAGCGGCUUAGAAAGAGGCUUGGUCUUUUUGAUCCAGGAGGGAAAGAGAGAGGAGGUCACUGGUUGAUUCUUUGCCACGCUUCUGACUCCUGGGCUUUUAUUGAUAAAAGAAUAAAUAGAUAAACGCUUCAGAUGUGUGUCCCCCCCCCCCCCAGAGAAGCUGUUACUGCUACUGAGUCAGGCCGCAGGCACAGAGUUAAGCUGCAAAAGUAGGAGAGGUUGCAGAGACCAAGGACAGGGUUAGAUCCAGGUGAACAAAAGGAUGGAUAGUUGGAUGUCAGAUCCAGAGGAAAGAGCAGACUGACAGACAGACAGACAGAUCCGAGUAAGACCAAUCAACAACAGGAAACAAGCUGAGCUGACGCCCCUGGGACACUCCAGUGUUUGCUGCCUGUGUACCAGUUAUCACAUGACAGGUCAACAUCACAGUGCUUCUUUUCAUGGAGCCCAGGAGAAGAGUUGCUCCCAUUCUUCAGCCUGAUACAUCUGAGCCCUCAUCCAGUGGCUGAUGGAAGCAGAGACAGACAUCCACAGAUAUACACUGAGCUGAAAUCUGGAAUUUAGUUGAAGAGAGGGAGGAAUGCAGAUCGAAGGGGCAGGUUGGAGAAACCCACAAAAACAGUUGGCCUGAACAAGGGAGAGUACAUCGACCCCAGAUGCUGUCUGGGAGGCCAGUACAAGACUGAUCCAGAUCCCUGAACAUGGAU
This 724-nucleotide long non-coding RNA is filed under the name Cricetulus griseus (Chinese hamster). RNAcentral describes it as "lncRNA (ENSCGRG00015009394.2)". Lineage: Eukaryota; Metazoa; Chordata; Mammalia; Rodentia; Cricetidae. The record is from RNAcentral.